UACGUAGGGGGCGAGCGUUGUCCGGAAUCAUUGGGCGUAAAGCGCGUGUAGGCGGCCAUCCAAGUCCGAUGUGAAAGCUCGGGGCUCAACCCCGAGUCUGCAUUGGAAACUGGAUGGCUUGAGUCCGGAAGAGGAGACUGGAAUUCCUGGUGUAGCGGUGAAAUGCGCAGAUAUCAGGAAGAACACCGGUGGCGAAGGCGGGUCUCUGGGACGGUACUGACGCUGAGACGCGAAAGCGUGGGGAGCAAAC
Molecule: ribosomal RNA, 250 nt
Filed under: uncultured bacterium
Lineage: Bacteria
Description: partial 16S ribosomal RNA
Rfam family: Bacterial small subunit ribosomal RNA
Source: RNAcentral